Molecule: long non-coding RNA, 441 nt
Filed under: Physcomitrium patens
Lineage: Eukaryota; Viridiplantae; Streptophyta; Bryopsida; Funariales; Funariaceae
Description: long non-coding RNA (PPAT_LNC008960)
Source: RNAcentral
GAAACACAAGGAAAUCCUAAAGAAAUAUAAAAGAAUAUUAAAGAAAACUUAGUCAAACCUUAACAAAAUCUAAUAGAACCUUAAAUUCUAACCAAAUCCUAAUCCUAAUCUAACCUUAAUCAAAUCCUAGACAAAUCCUAAAUCCUAAACCAAAUCCUAAUCAAAACUUAAUCCCUAACCAAACUCUAAUCCAAAUCCUAAACCCUAAACCAAAUCCUAAACCCUAAACCAAAUCCUAAUCCAAAUCCUAAAUCUUAAACCAAAUCCUAUCCAAAUCCUAAAUCCUAAACCAAACCCUAAUCCAAAUCCUAAAUCCUAAAUAAAACCCUAAUCAAACCUUAAUCCCUAACCAAAUCCUAAUGCAAAUCCUAAAUCCUAAACCAAACCCUAAUCCAAACCCUAAACCCUAAACCAAAUCCUAUCCAAAUCCUAAACCAAAUC